This 809-nucleotide ribosomal RNA is filed under the name uncultured sponge symbiont. RNAcentral's name for it is "bacterial SSU rRNA". It matches the Rfam family "Bacterial small subunit ribosomal RNA", at positions 9 to 795 of the family's 1533-position model. The record is from RNAcentral.
GAGUUUGAUCCUGGCUCAGAACUAACGCUUGUGGUGUGUCUUAGUCAUGCAAGUCGAACGAGAAAGUCUCCUUCGGGUGGCGAGUACAGUGGCGAACGGGUGAGCAACACGUGGGCAACCUGCCCUUGGGUUGGGGAUAACACUUCCAACGAAGUGCUAAUACCGAAUGACAAGGCGAGUUGAUAACUCGUUUUUAAAGGUGGCCUCUACUUGUAAGCUGCCGCCUAGGGAUGGGCCCGCGUCGUAUUAGCUUGUUGGUAGGGUAACUGCCUACCAAGGCGACGAUGCGUAGCCGGCCUGAGAGGGUGAACGGCCACACUGGCACUGAGAUAAGGGCCAGUCUCCUACGGGAGCCAGCAGUCUAGAAAUUUGCACAAUCGCCGAAAGGCGGAUGCAGCGACACCACGUGGAGGAUGAAGCCCCUCGGGGUGUAAACUCCUGUCAGAAGGGAAGAAGGCAUGGGCGUUAAUACCGCUCGUUGCUUGACGGUACCUUCAGAGGAAGCUCCGGCUAACUACGCGCCAGCAGCCGCGGUAAUACGUAGGGAGCGAGCGUUGUUCGGAUUUACUGGGCGUAAAGGGCACGUAGGCGGGUGUGCAAGUCUGUUGUGAAAUCCUCUGGCUCAACCAGAGAACUGCAGCCGAAACUGCACACCUUGAGUCCAGCAGAGGGAAUCGGAAUCCCAGGUGUAGCGGUGAAAUGCGUAGAUAUCUGGGAGAACAUCAGAGGCGAAGGCGGAUUCCUGGGCUGGUACUGACGCUGAGGUGCGAAAGCUAAGGGAGCGAACAGGAUUAGAUACCCUGGUAGUC